GCCCCCGUAGCUCAGAUGGAUAGAGCGUCGGUUUCCUAAACCGUGCGUCGCAGGUUCGAGUCCUGCCGGGGGCGCCA
RNAcentral lists this transfer RNA (77 nucleotides) under bacterium. RNAcentral's name for it is "tRNA-Arg". It matches the Rfam family "tRNA". From Rfam's summary of the family: Transfer RNA (tRNA) molecules are approximately 80 nucleotides in length. Their secondary structure includes four short double-helical elements and three loops (D, anti-codon, and T loops). RNAcentral also lists the same sequence under 2 other names. The record is from RNAcentral.